UACAGAGGGGGCAAGCGUUGUCCGGACUUACUGGGCGUAAAGGGCACGUAGGUGGUGCGCCAAGACCUGUGUGAAAUCGGACGGCUUAACCGUGCGGCGCCACAGGUGACUGGUGGACUCGAGGCAUGCAGAGGCUGGUGGAAUUGCCGGUGUAGUGGUGAAAUGCGUAGAGAUCGGCAGGAACACCAAGGGGGAACCCAGCCAGCUGGGCAUGACCUGACACUGAGGUGCGACAGCGUGGGGAGCGAACAGG
RNAcentral lists this ribosomal RNA (253 nucleotides) under uncultured bacterium. RNAcentral's name for it is "partial 16S ribosomal RNA". It matches the Rfam family "Bacterial small subunit ribosomal RNA", at positions 524 to 776 of the family's 1533-position model. The record is from RNAcentral.